Molecule: ribosomal RNA, 400 nt
Filed under: uncultured bacterium
Lineage: Bacteria
Description: bacterial SSU rRNA
Rfam family: Bacterial small subunit ribosomal RNA
Source: RNAcentral
UGGGGAAUAUUGGACAAUGGGCGCAAGCCUGAUCCAGCAAUGCCGCGUGGAUGAAGAAGGUCUUCGGAUUGUAAAGUCCUUUCGACGGGGACGAUGAUGACGGUACCCGUAGAAGAAGCCCCGGCUAACUUCGUGCCAGCAGCCGCGGUAAUACGAAGGGGGCUAGCGUUACUCGGAAUUACUGGGCGUAAAGGGCGCGUAGGCGGCUUUUCAAGUUGGACGUGAAAUUCCUGGGCUCAACCUGGGGACUGCGUUCAAGACUGUGGAGCUAGAGGAUGGAAGAGGGUCGUGGAAUUCCCAGUGUAGAGGUGAAAUUCGUAGAUAUUGGGAAGAACACCGGUGGCGAAGGCGGCGACCUGGUCCAUUACUGACGCUGAGGCGCGACAGCGUGGGGAGCAAA